UCAGUUCGGACUGUAGGCUGCAACUCGCCUACACGAAGUCGGAAUCGCUAGUAAUCGCGGAUCAGCAUGCCGCGGUGAAUACGUUCCCGGGCCUUGUACACACCGCCUGUCACACCAUGGGAGUUUGUAACGCCCAAAGUCGGUGGCCUAACCUUUAUGGAGGGAGCCGCCUAAGGCGGGACAGAUGACUGGGGUGAAGUCGUAACAAGGUACC
This 214-nucleotide ribosomal RNA is filed under the name uncultured bacterium. Its description in RNAcentral is "partial 16S ribosomal RNA". It matches the Rfam family "Bacterial small subunit ribosomal RNA", at positions 1288 to 1500 of the family's 1533-position model. The record is from RNAcentral.